Molecule: ribosomal RNA, 253 nt
Filed under: uncultured bacterium
Lineage: Bacteria
Description: partial 16S ribosomal RNA
Rfam family: Bacterial small subunit ribosomal RNA
Source: RNAcentral
UACGUAGGGGGCAAGCGUUGUCCGGAAUCAUUGGGCGUAAAGAGCGCGUAGGCGGCCCAGUAAGUCCGCUCUGAAAGUCAGAGGCUCAACCUCUGGAUGCGGGUGGAUACUGCUGGGCUAGAGUCCGGAAGAGGCGAGUGGAAUUCCUGGUGUAGCGGUGAAAUGCGCAGAUAUCAGGAGGAACACCGGUGGCGAAGGCGGGUCUCUGGGCCGAAACUGACGCUGAGGCGCGAAAGCGUGGGGAGCAAACAGG